UUAAUACAUGCAAGUCGAGCGCUACUUUUUAGUAGAGCGGCGGACGAGCGAGUAACACGUUGGUAUCUGCCCCGAACUCAGGGAUAACAUCUAGAAAUAGGUGCUAAUACCGGAUAGUCAUUGCGCUUCGCGCAAUGUAAAGUUUUCCGGUUCGGGAGGAGCCUGCGGCCUAUCAGCUUGUUGGUAAGGUAAAGGCUUACCAAGGCUAUGACGGGUAACUGGUCUGAGAGGAUGAUCAGUCGCGAUGGGACUGAGACACGGCCCAUACUCCUACGGGAGGCAGCAGUAAGGAAUCGUUCCACAAUGGACGAAAGUCUGAUGGAGCAACACCGCGUGGUUGAUGAAGCCCUUCGGGGUGUAGAGACCUUUUCUGGGAGAAGAAUUCUGACGGUAUCCUAGGAAUAAGCACCGGCUAACUCCGUGCCAGCAGCCGCGGUAAUACGGAGGGUGCAAGCGUUAUCCGGAAUCAUUGGGCGUAAAGCGUCCGCAGGCGGUUUGUUAAGUUGGGUGUAAAAUUUUGCAGCUCGACUGCAAAAAUACAUUCAAAACUGGCAAACUAGAGUACUUCAGAGGUACGUGGAAUUCUGUGUGUAGGGGUAAAAUCCGUAGAUACACAGAGGAAUACCAAAAGCGAAGGCAGCGUACUGGGAAGUCACUGACGCUCAGGGACGAAAG
This 675-nucleotide ribosomal RNA is filed under the name uncultured organism. Its description in RNAcentral is "bacterial SSU rRNA". It matches the Rfam family "Bacterial small subunit ribosomal RNA", at positions 48 to 759 of the family's 1533-position model. The record is from RNAcentral.